UACCAGCACCCCGAGUGGUCGGGACGAUUAUUGGGCCUAAAGCAUCCGUAGCCGGCCUUACAAGUCCCCCGUUAAAUCCAACUGCUUAACAGAUGGGCUGCGGAGGAUACUAUAAGACUAGGAGGCAGGAGAGGCAAGCGGUACUCAGUGGGUAGGGGUAAAAUCCAUUGAUCCAUUGAAGACCACCAGUGGCGAAGGCGGCUCACUGGGUCUUUUCUGACGCUGAGGAACGAAAGCUAGGGGAGCAAACGGG
RNAcentral lists this ribosomal RNA (253 nucleotides) under uncultured bacterium. RNAcentral describes it as "partial 16S ribosomal RNA". It matches the Rfam family "Archaeal small subunit ribosomal RNA", at positions 474 to 727 of the family's 1478-position model. The record is from RNAcentral.